Molecule: long non-coding RNA, 798 nt
Organism: Rhinolophus ferrumequinum (greater horseshoe bat)
Lineage: Eukaryota; Metazoa; Chordata; Mammalia; Chiroptera; Rhinolophidae
Exons: 3
Source: RefSeq, a predicted model, not a curated record
AUGGCAGAUGGCUGGCAGUUCGCUGUUUGGCAAACCAACUGGUAUGGUAUGUUGGAAAUUCAGAGCAGCAGGUAUGCAGUUCAAUUUGAAACCACCACAGAUGCUCGGAGGGAGCGGGGGAGGGGCACAAGCUGGUCAGGAAAUUAAGAACAGUGCUCUGAGCUCAGAGGGAGAAAAAGAGGAUAAUUAGCUGAAAGUUUGCUUCUUCCAGUCUCUACUUUUUUCUUUCUUUUCUUUUCUUUCUUUCUUUUUUUUUUCCUUUCCAUUUUUGGUUGCUUCUUAGAAAACCAGGAAGGAUUUUAGAAGUUAGCCCAGUGAAAAGCUUCUAAUUUUGCUCCAGAACUGUCUGUUGGAGGCAAAGCUCAGCGUCCAUGAGGAAUUCAAAGUUCGUAUGAUGGCUAAAAGGAAGGAGGAAAGUACUGUAUGUUAAGUGCCCACCACUCUCUUCCUAUGGGGCCGAAAGUGAACAGCAGACCAGCAAAGGAACUGGGAUAAAGACCUACCAGGACAUCUGUCUGGCUAGACCUCUGACCACUUCCUGCUUCUGGAAGCCCCCCCAUGCAGGACCACCGCCAAUCGUCUGCCUUCUGAAGGUGCCCACCAGGAGUGUGAAGCUGGUCUCCAGCCAGUCAGGACUUUCAGAUGCUGCCUAUUUCCAAGAGCCACCCUAACGGCCUGACUUCCCAGAGUAACUGUCCGGCUGCAGCGCAGGCCCUUCUGUUGUCAUUUAUGUCCUGAAGGAAUUUACCCAUUAGGCAAACUUCCCCAAUGUCACAGCAGUUUCUCUUCAAUGCAGCA